AGAAACCACUAAUCUCUGUUUCUUGAUUUAUAUCGGCGCCUUCUCCUUCCACCGUGUAUUGAAAUGGCAGGAACUGGGGUGGUGGCAGUUUACGGUAAUGGAGCAAUCACUGAAACUAAGAAGUCCCCCUUCUCCGUCAAGGUGGGUCUGGCCCAGAUGCUCCGGGGUGGUGUUAUCAUGGACGUCGUCAACCCAGAGCAGGCUCGCAUCGCCGAGGAGGCCGGCGCUUGUGCUGUCAUGGCCUUGGAGCGUGUCCCUGCUGACAUCCGCGCUCAAGGUGGCGUCGCUCGAAUGAGUGACCCUCAGCUAAUCAAAGAAAUUAAGCAGUCCGUCACCAUCCCUGUCAUGGCUAAGGCCCGCAUCGGGCACUUUGUGGAGGCUCAAAUUCUUGAAGCCAUAGGCAUCGAUUAUGUUGAUGAGAGCGAAGUGCUUACCCUUGCGGAUGAGGAGAAUCAUAUCAACAAACAUAACUUCCGUAUCCCCUUCGUUUGCGGUUGU
RNAcentral lists this long non-coding RNA (498 nucleotides) under Manihot esculenta (cassava). Its description in RNAcentral is "long non-coding RNA (MESC_LNC005613)". Lineage: Eukaryota; Viridiplantae; Streptophyta; Magnoliopsida; Malpighiales; Euphorbiaceae. The record is from RNAcentral.